ACAGUCACACAUUAGAUACCCGUGUAGUCCCAGCCGUAAACGAUGCGCGUUAGGUGUAUCGAUGACCACGAGUCAUCGAGGUGCCGGAGAGAAGUUGUUAAGUCUGCUACGUUGGGGAGUACGUCCGCAAGGAUGAAACUUAAAGGAAUUGGCGGGGGAGCACCGCAACGGGAGGAGCGUGCGGUUUAAUUGGAUUCAACACCGUAAAACUCACCAGGGAAGACUGUUACAUGAAAGCCGAGUUGAAGACUCUGCUAGAUUUUCAG
RNAcentral lists this ribosomal RNA (266 nucleotides) under uncultured archaeon. Its description in RNAcentral is "partial 16S ribosomal RNA". It matches the Rfam family "Archaeal small subunit ribosomal RNA", at positions 719 to 982 of the family's 1478-position model. The record is from RNAcentral.